RNAcentral lists this ribosomal RNA (401 nucleotides) under uncultured soil bacterium. Its description in RNAcentral is "bacterial SSU rRNA". It matches the Rfam family "Bacterial small subunit ribosomal RNA", at positions 355 to 774 of the family's 1533-position model. The record is from RNAcentral.
UUAGGAAUCUUGCGCAAUGGGCGAAACUGACGCAGCGAUGCCGCGUGCGGGAUGAAGGCCCUCGGGUCGUAAACCGCUUUCAGCAGGGACGAUAAUGACGGUACCUGCAGAAGAAGCCCCGGCCAACUACGUGCCAGCAGCCGCGGUAAUACGUAGGGGGCGAGCGUUGUCCGGAUUUAUUGGGCGUAAAGAGCUCGUAGGCGGUUUGGUAAGUCGGGUGUGAAAUCUCCACGCUCAACGUGGAGGGGCCACUCGAUACUGCCAUGACUCGAGUCCGGUAGAGGAGUGUGGAAUUCCCGGUGUAGCGGUGAAAUGCGCAGAUAUCGGGAGGAACACCCGUAGCGAAGGCGGCACUCUGGGCCGGAACUGACGCUGAGGAGCGAAAGCGUGGGGAGCAAACA